ACCGUCAUCCUUUAUCUCAAGAAACAUUCAAGAACAGUGUGGCUGUUGAGAGCAUUAACCGAAAUUCAGUGUGUUGAUGCCAUCCGACAUGUUGUAUUAGUGCACACUGCCUUGGUGAUACAAGAAGAAAAAUCACAUAUGCCUGGAAGAAGCAGAGUUAGUGAACAAAGAAAAUGUGCUAUUUAUACACUAUAUAUGGAAGAGGCCCAUGACCCAUUGCUGGCUGCAAGGAUGAGCCCAUGAUUCUGGACUGGGAGAAGUGAUGCCUGCAGCUGUGACAGCCAUCGUGAGAUGAUGAAGCAACACAGUGAAGGAUAAAAGGAAGCCAGCCCGCCAGAACUGUGGGCCUGGAGGAUGGAGAGCCUGGCUACCUCUGGGGCUCCUGUUCAAGCUCAGUUGAACUACAGACAAGCUUCUUUAACAUUUUGCUAAUAAAUGAUGUGUUUCUACCAGCGUUUCUCUGUUACCCCAACAAAAUAAACUAUAAUUGACCUGUUCAUUCUCAUUAUUAGAAUUUCACUGGAACUAACUACAUUUAUUAUGACUU
RNAcentral lists this long non-coding RNA (547 nucleotides) under Callithrix jacchus (white-tufted-ear marmoset). Its description in RNAcentral is "lncRNA (ENSCJAG00000054642.2)". Lineage: Eukaryota; Metazoa; Chordata; Mammalia; Primates; Cebidae. The record is from RNAcentral.